UGGAGCACGGGAGCAUCCUGGUGGCUAAUGGCGAACGGGUGAGUAAUAUAUCGGAACGUGCCCAGUCGUGGGGGAUAACGCAGCGAAAGCUGUGCUAAUACCGCAUACGAUCUACGGAUGAAAGCGGGGGAUCGCAAGACCUCGCGCGAUUGGAGCGGCCGAUAUCAGAUUAGCUAGUUGGUGGGGUAAAGGCCCACCAAGGCGACGAUCUGUAGCUGGUCUGAGAGGACGACCAGCCACACUGGAACUGAGACACGGUCCAGACUCCUACGGGAGGCAGCAGUGGGGAAUUUUGGACAAUGGGCGCAAGCCUGAUCCAGCAAUGCCGCGUGCAGGAUGAAGGCCUUCGGGUUGUAAACUGCUUUUGUACGGAACGAAACGGUGAGCUCUAAUAAAGUUUGCUAAUGACGGUACCGUAAGAAUAAGCACCGGCUAACUACGUGCCAGCAGCCGCGGUAAUACGUAGGGUGCGAGCGUUAAUCGGAAUUACUGGGCGUAAAGCGUGCGCAGGCGGUUAUGUAACGACAGAUGUGAAAUCCCCGGGCUCAACCUGGGACCUGCAUUUGUGACUGCAUAGCUAGAGUACGGUAGAGGGGGAUGGAAUUCCCGCGUGUUAGCAGUUGAAACUGCGUAGGAUAUGCGGGAAGGAACACACGCAUUGCCAAAGGGCAAUCCCCUGGAACCUGUUACUGAACGCUCUCAUUGCAAGAAAAGCGUCGGGG
RNAcentral lists this ribosomal RNA (722 nucleotides) under uncultured beta proteobacterium. RNAcentral describes it as "bacterial SSU rRNA". It matches the Rfam family "Bacterial small subunit ribosomal RNA", at positions 67 to 767 of the family's 1533-position model. Lineage: Bacteria; Pseudomonadati; Pseudomonadota; Betaproteobacteria. The record is from RNAcentral.